This 77-nucleotide transfer RNA is filed under the name bacterium. Its description in RNAcentral is "tRNA-Pro". It matches the Rfam family "tRNA". Rfam says of the family: Transfer RNA (tRNA) molecules are approximately 80 nucleotides in length. Their secondary structure includes four short double-helical elements and three loops (D, anti-codon, and T loops). Further hydrogen bonds mediate the characteristic L-shaped molecular structure. tRNAs have two regions of fundamental functional importance: the anti-codon, which is responsible for specific mRNA codon recognition, and the 3' end, to which the tRNAs corresponding amino acid is attached (by aminoacyl-tRNA synthetases). tRNAs cope with the degeneracy of the genetic code in two manners: having more than one tRNA (with a specific anti-codon) for a particular amino acid; and 'wobble' base-pairing, i.e. permitting non-standard base-pairing at the 3rd anti-codon position. RNAcentral also lists the same sequence under 10 other names. The record is from RNAcentral.
CGGGGCGUGGCGCAGCCUGGUAGCGCACCUGCCUUGGGCGCAGGGGGUCGGAGGUUCAAAUCCUCUCGCCCCGACCA